Molecule: long non-coding RNA, 476 nt
Filed under: Salvia miltiorrhiza (redroot sage)
Lineage: Eukaryota; Viridiplantae; Streptophyta; Magnoliopsida; Lamiales; Lamiaceae
Description: long non-coding RNA (SMIL_LNC009810)
Source: RNAcentral
AACGAUACAAAUAAUUACAACUCAAUUACACUAAUCAAAUUAGACCUUUAAGUCAUUGAUCAAUUAAUAAAUAAAUUAAACAAUCUAAUCUCUUAUUAUAAACUCAUGUUGGCUUAGUAGUAAAAAUGUUAAUGUCCAAUACCUGAGAUUCUGGAUUCGAGUUCUCCGUCACAUUAUCUUUAAAUUUCUUUAUUUACUUAUAUAAUUAAAAAAAAAAACUCUGUGGUCCCAUAGGCCAAUUUCUUAUUUCACUGAUUAGUUGGCAGCUGAAAUGCUUAAUUAAUUAAUUUCUUAAAGGGUAAUUAUAUACAUAGCCCCCAUUUUAUUCACUAUAGCUUCUAAUUAAAAAAAUAAAAAAUAUUAAUAAAUAGAUUGUUUUGCCCUUGUAGCCCCCAAAAUUAAAACUUCACCGAUUAGAAAUCUAUAAACAUAAAAAUACGACAAAGAAUUUCAAUAAAACUUACAGCCCCAAAUUA